Molecule: ribosomal RNA, 483 nt
Filed under: uncultured bacterium
Lineage: Bacteria
Description: partial 16S ribosomal RNA
Rfam family: Bacterial small subunit ribosomal RNA
Source: RNAcentral
GACGAACGCUGGCGGCGUGCUUAACACAUGCAAGUCGAACGAUGAAAGUGGAGCUUGCUCCGCUGAAUUAGUGGCGAACGGGUGAGUAACACGUGGGCAACCUGCCCCAGACUCUGGGAUAACUCCUCGAAAGAGGUGCUAAUACCGGAUACGAACUCCUUGGGCAUCCUUGGAGUUGGAAAGUUUUUCGGUCUGGGAUGGGCCCGCGGCCUAUCAGCUUGUUGGUGGGGUAGUGGCCCACCAAGGCGACGACGGGUAGCCGGCCUGAGAGGGCGACCGGCCACACUGGGACUGAGACACGGCCCAGACUCCUACGGGAGGCAGCAGUGGGGAAUAUUGCUCAAUGGGCGAAAGCCUGACGCAGCGACGCCGCGUGAGGGAUGACGGCCUUCGGGUUGUAAACCUCUUUCAGCAGGGAAGAAGCGAAAGUGACGGUACCUGCAGAAGAAGCACCGGCUAACUACGUGCCAGCCGCCGCAGUAA